Molecule: ribosomal RNA, 254 nt
Filed under: uncultured bacterium
Lineage: Bacteria
Description: partial 16S ribosomal RNA
Rfam family: Bacterial small subunit ribosomal RNA
Source: RNAcentral
UACGGGGGGAGCAAGCGUUGUUCGGAUUUACUGGGCGUAAAGGGCGCGUAGGCGGCCGGCACAAGUCAGUUGUGAAAUCUCCGAGCUUAACUCGGAAAGGUCAACUGAUACUGUGCGGCUAGAGUGCGGAAGGGGCAACUGGAAUUCUUGGUGUAGCGGUGAAAUGCGUAGAUAUCAAGAGGAACACCUGCGGCGAAGGCGGGUUGCUGGGCCGACACUGACGCUGAUGCGCGAAAGCUAGGGGAGCGAACGGG